This is a non-coding RNA of Otolemur garnettii (small-eared galago), 105 nucleotides long. The record is from Rfam. Lineage: Eukaryota; Metazoa; Chordata; Mammalia; Primates; Galagidae.
CGCUGCUUCGGCAGCGCAUACGCUAAACUUAGAACAAUACAGAGGAGAUUAGUGUGGCCCCUGUGCAAGGGUGACACACAGAUUCGUGAAGUGUUCCAGACUUUU